Small nucleolar RNA from Hibiscus syriacus, 107 nucleotides. The record is from RefSeq and is a predicted model, not a curated record. NCBI's taxonomy places the organism in Eukaryota, Viridiplantae, Streptophyta, Magnoliopsida, Malvales, Malvaceae.
AAACCAUGCAUCAGACAUUUUCGCAACAAAUAUUUAAACCUAUCUCAUGCUUCAUACUAGUUCUCAUCAUCCAUUUGCUUGAAAGAUAUGAUGUCAUUUCUCAAUCU